CCGAGUUAUCAACUCCCAAACCCCUGUGAACAUACCUUUUGUUGCCUCGGCGGGAUCGCCCCGGUGCCUCCGGGCCCGGAACCAGGCGCCCGCCGCAGGACCCAAACUCUUGUUUUCUAUAUGAAUCUUCUGAGUGACACAAGCAAAUAAAUUA
RNAcentral lists this unclassified non-coding RNA (154 nucleotides) under soil metagenome. RNAcentral's name for it is "partial internal transcribed spacer 1". The record is from RNAcentral.